AGCCAACCCUGAAGACGCUCCCGCAGGCGAACGAGCUCCGGGUUUCCGUCCCCGCACGCCUGCUCCGACGUCCCCGCAGGGAACAGGGCCUCCAGGCCGACCGAAGAGGAGUGGUGGAUACACAUUAAAGGAUGGCCAAAGUGUCAAAUGAGGAGGUGAGAGGUGAGGUGUCAUGGUCCCUGGGUCUUGGAUCCAGGGCUUUGUGUUCUUGGUUACACAAUGUUCCUGUUCCUCCGGCAUGUCCCCGGGUCUGCCUUGUCACUCUGCGUUCUGUCUCCCUGGCUUUCUGAUUUCCUCUUUUGUAUUUCCAUUUUGUUCCUUCUACCUUAUCUCCAUGUUUGUUUAUCUUCUGUCUCUUUGUCAAGUUCCUGUGGGUCUCUGUGUGUGUGCCCGCGUUUAUUUUGAUAGUGUUUUGUGUGCUUCAUAUCGUUUUAAUUCCCCUGCUUUGUUAUCCUGAUUUGUUGCGGCUGCUGGUGUUUCCCCAUCUCCCUAAUUACCUGGUGUGUAUUUAAAUCCUCGGUUUCCUGCUGCUGUUCGUUGUGUCCUCCCUUGCAGACUUCCUUGAAGGUUUGUAGUGGUUGGUUUUGAUCUGGAUUAUUUUGUACUCAGUUUAAGUUCUGCAAUAA
Pelmatolapia mariae (spotted tilapia) is the source of this 626-nucleotide long non-coding RNA. RefSeq lists it as uncharacterized. Lineage: Eukaryota; Metazoa; Chordata; Actinopteri; Cichliformes; Cichlidae. The record is from RefSeq and is a predicted model, not a curated record. The transcript has 3 exons.